RNAcentral lists this unclassified non-coding RNA (3766 nucleotides) under Leishmania donovani. Its description in RNAcentral is "gene:LdHU3.19.0240(CDS-product:polyprenyl_synthas e_putative)". Lineage: Eukaryota; Euglenozoa; Kinetoplastea; Trypanosomatida; Trypanosomatidae. The record is from RNAcentral.
GUGUCGCAAGCAUCUGAGUAGUAAAGUUGCCUUCAACAUUGAGAUUUCGCUUAACCGAAUUUUCGCUGUCCCGGACAUCAAGCUGAUCUUCAACGGUAAUUAUUGCUGCACACGUUCUGUACCGCUUGCGCGACGCUGUGGGUUUUAUCUCGGCUAGGAAAAGAACUGCAAACACUAAUUUGCAUAUUUGCGCAUUGCACAUGAGCGAGGAUUGGCCCCAGCACUUCCCACCGAGGGGAACAGUACCAGAUGCCGAGGUGUAUGAUCAGCUUAUCAGCGCGUCUACGCUGCAGUGGUGGUAUGCCAAUGCGCACCUCACAGUAAAGGGUGAGGACGACUCGUCCCUGGCGUUUUUUGCUUCCUUCUUCAGGCAGGCUGGGGACAACUGUCCGACAGCCACUACGAAGUACUACGACGCUUGCGUGUGGGCCCUUAUUGACUUGGAAAACAUGAAAUGCUAUGCGGAUAGCGCGCUUGACCCCGAGUCAAUCGACCAGCUGAAGCUUCGCCUUGAUCCGGCAGUUAUGGGUCGGAAGUUGGAGCACGUGGAGGUCGCGCUACUGGAGCUUCUCAACAAGGGGCGUGUGCCGCGCCCAGAUCGUCUCCUGAAGGGGAAGGCGGUUUACACACAGCAGCCCUUUAGCAUCGCACUGGACGACAGCUGCGUGAUGCGGAUCGCACAAGAGGGAUCAGCGCGGCGCUAUACUUUCUCAAUGACGAACGCGGCGGAUGAGGUGUACGUGGAGGUGUGCUUGGAGACGCAGCAGCAGCCAGUGUUGCAUGGAAAGGAUGGCCGUGUGAACGGCAUGUACUACUACUACUUCCCGUCGAUGAGUGUGACGGGGUAUGUUGUGGUGAAGGGUGUGAAGCGCGAGGUGACGGGUUUGGGGUGGUAUGACCGUGAGCUGGGGGGGUCUACCUCUGAAGUCGAUAAGGAGGCCAAGUACAGUUGGUCGUGGCUGUCUCUUCAUGCCUCGAACAUGUCGCAAUUGAGCAUUUUCCACAUUGCAGGUAACAAUGAAUCUGAGGCGGGAGAGAGAGCUGCCGUGGAGACGCGAGCGGAUGGCAGUCGCCAUUACCACGACGAUGUGAUCAUAGAGACGAAUAAGACGUGGUCAAGCCUUGUUACGUUCAUGCAGUAUCCGUCUGAGUUUCGCCUAUGCUCGGCGUCGAUGGGACUGGACGUGACGAUGCACACGGCCUUUGCUGCGCAGGAGAUCGGCACAGUUCUGGUUGGCGGUGCAGGAUUCUACGAGGGUGUCGUGGAGGGCAGUGGCGUGUGCGGCGGAGACGCCGUGACGUUGCGUGGCUUCUUUGAGCACAAGAAGAAAGCCUCACCGUAUAACAACACGUCGGAGCUGCUGAAGUACGUUGGGUCGUAUGUGCAUGGCGCGCUCGAGGAGAUUUAUCCGCUGACCGCGUCUGAUUCUUGGGUGUCUGAGAAUGUACUGGGGCGCUAUGCGAUGAAUCGAGGGGCGCCUGCGGACAAGAUCUGUGAAACUCUGUUCCGGCCUGUGCGCUCCAUCAUCGACCGUGGCGGCAAGUCGUGGCGCAGCCUGAUCCUCGUGAGCUGCUGCAAUGCGUUGUCUCGUCAGUACUUCGACUGCCGCCGCUACAUUGCGGUAGCCGAGCUGCUGCACGUGGGGUCGCUGAUCAUCGACGACAUUCAGGACAACUCCGUGGUGCGCCGCGGCGGCAAGUGUGUGCACGUGGAGUACGGCGUCCCGACGGCCAUCAACGCUGGCAGUGCUUGCUACUUUAUGGGGCCACGUGCCGCCCGCAUCCAGGACCUCCCGCCGGAGAAGGCCAGCCGCAUCUACCAGCUGUACUUCGACGUGCUGCUCGCUGGGCACGCGGGCCAAGGCUUGGAUAUCUACCGCCUCGACUACCUGAUGCCUAAAGUCGUAGAGACCGGCGAUGCGAGCACGCUGUUCGAUGCGCUCGAUGCGAUUCACACAUACAAAACGGGCGGUGCAGUAGGAGCGCUCUGCUCCAUGGCGUGUGUGCUCUGUGAGGCGCCUACGGUUUUGUCGGAGGCUGUGGAGAGGUUCGGCCUCGCGCUGGGUCUCGCAUUCCAGAUCGUGGACGACGCGCUAAACAUCCGCGGCUUUGAAGGAAAUCUGAAGGAGGAAGCGGAAGACAUCAAGGACGGUAAGAUUACAUACCCUAUCGCCAUCGCGAUGGGCCGUCUUGAGGCCGUGGACCGGCAGACACUCUGGGCAAUUCUGCGGAAGCCGACAAAGGAAGCGGCAGACAUCCUACAGGCAGUGGAACUCAUCAUGAAAGUUGACGCUACAUCGGAGUGCUUUCUGAUUGCGCGCCACCGCCUUCAGGAGAUGUGGAACGCCCUGGACCCGCUACUCGAGGACUCCUUUCCGAAGCUGCUGAUGCGCACAUUCUGCUCUUUUCUUGUGGAGCGCACGUACUGAGCACGUCGCAAUUUAGCGGAGAGGCGUAGUGUCUCCGCUGCACUCACAGCCUGGUAUGAAGGAAGGCGCGACAGUGCGAUGAGAGCGAAGGGACGAGGUGGUGCGGUUGUUGAACGUCACAACUGUGCAGACAAACCCCUCGUCGAAUGGUGAUUAAUGCAUCAAUGACCUUCUUUUUGUUGCAGUAUUAGUUUGUCCCCGAUAAGGGGGAACGCCUCAGUGCGUGGUAUCCGCGGUCCAGUACCCCCACUCUGUGGGAAUGCCGAGCAGCCGCCCGCCCCUGUCCCCCGCCCCUGUCCCCCGCCAGUGCCGAGGCACUUCUGCUGCUGAUAGGGCCAGGCACCUACGGCGUGUGGGAGGUCAGAGCGACUUAUCGCUACUGAUGUCGGCGGCCGGGUGCUGGAUGGCGCUGCGCCGGAGCGACCUGUGAUUGUGAGCAUAUUUGUGCCAUCCAUAUGAUGGCUAGAGUGUGAGCGUGACUCGAGCGUAUUUCGCCCGGCCCUCACUGCCCUGCUAGCGAGGGCGCUUGUGUGCCACCCGGAGGGUGAUGCGCCGGGUGGCGAGCAGCACAAUGGGAAGCGACUGUGAGGCAGCCUGCUUGGUGGGCGGGUGGGCAGAGUUUGAGGCAGAGACGGCGCUCCGAUGACUGUGUCGGCGCAUUGCUGUAACGCGCUUCUAGCGCUGCUUCGCACCGCGCGGAAUGGGGGCCUGUGACAGGCUGUGAGGGGUAGGGUGGAGUGGAGCUCGUGCUGUAUGGCGGAGGAUGGGCGCGCCGAAAAGAAAGAAAAAGACAGUGUGAGUUUUCUUUGAGCCUGGCGCUCAAUGGCUUGUGCUGCGGUCUCGUCUUUACGUCUGUUUCACCUGUACGUUUUUUCUUGUACUGCAGUGCUGCACUCACUAGACUAUCUGUUGCUCUAGCGUGUGUUUACAGAACCGGCCAAGGAUUGCUGUCCUUUAUUGUGGGUCGCGUCUGUCUGCUACAGACUUCUGUUUUCCGAAUCGAUACCAAGCAUAUACGAGUGCAGUGGCCGUUGCUUGGAAGAGCCACACACUCAAACAAAGCGGGCCCUGCUUGCUGCGCCGUAAUAUGGUCGCCAGAAAGGAAAACGCCUAGUCUCUGCAACGUGACGAGGUAGCGAGAGAAGUGUCAGCCGUGAUACGCUGGUUGCCGAAUGUAAGCACCAUAUCCUCUUUUGGAGGCUUUCUUGCGGCACGCUGCUGCCACGGCAGGUGGGCAGGAGUGUGAUGCGGGCGGGGGACUGCAGUCUGCACUCGACGCCACGACGCCAUCCUUUCGUACUUUCCAAAAUGUUUCCUUUACUCCGUCUUUUUCCCAG